CAGGCUUAACACAUGCAAGUCGAGGGGUAGCAGGGAGCUUGCUCCGCUGACGACCGGCGAACGGGUGCGUAACGCGUAUAGAAUCUACCUCUUACUAAGGGAUAGCCCAGAGAAAUUUGGAUUAAUAUCUUAUAGUAUACAGACCUGGCAUCAGGAUUGUAUUAAAGGUUACGGUAAGAGAUGACUAUGCGUCCUAUUAGCUAGAUGGUGUGGUAACGGCACACCAUGGCUACGAUAGGUAGGGGCCCUGAGAGGGGGAUCCCCCACACUGGUACUGAGACACGGACCAGACUCCUACGGGAGGCAGCAGUGAGGAAUAUUGGACAAUGGAGGCAACUCUGAUCCAGCCAUGCCGCGUGCAGGAAGACUGCCCUAUGGGUUGUAAACUGCUUUUAUACAGGAAGAAACACUCUCACGUGUGAGAGCUUGACGGUACUGUAAGAAUAAGGAUCGGCUAACUCCGUGCCAGCAGCCGCGGUAAUACGGAGGAUCCAAGCGUUAUCCGGAAUCAUUGGGUUUAAAGGGUCCGUAGGUGGAUGAUUAAGUCAGAGGUGAAAUCCUGGCCCUGCAACUGUAAAAUUGCCUUUGAUACUGGUU
This 597-nucleotide ribosomal RNA is filed under the name Olleya sp. RNAcentral describes it as "bacterial SSU rRNA". It matches the Rfam family "Bacterial small subunit ribosomal RNA", at positions 43 to 638 of the family's 1533-position model. Lineage: Bacteria; Pseudomonadati; Bacteroidota; Flavobacteriia; Flavobacteriales; Flavobacteriaceae. The record is from RNAcentral.